Molecule: ribosomal RNA, 468 nt
Filed under: uncultured bacterium
Lineage: Bacteria
Description: partial 16S ribosomal RNA
Rfam family: Bacterial small subunit ribosomal RNA
Source: RNAcentral
GACGAACGCUGGCGGCGUGCUUAACACAUGCAAGUCGAACGGAAAGGCCCUGCUUUUGUGGGGUGCUCGAGUGGCGAACGGGUGAGUAACACGUGAGUAACCUGCCCUUGACUUUGGGAUAACUUCAGGAAACUGGGGCUAAUACCGGAUAGGAGCUCCUGCUGCAUGGUGGGGGUUGGAAAGUUUCGGCGGUUGGGGAUGGACUCGCGGCUUAUCAGCUUGUUGGUGGGGUAGUGGCUUACCAAGGCUUUGACGGGUAGCCGGCCUGAGAGGGUGACCGGCCACAUUGGGACUGAGAUACGGCCCAGACUCCUACGGGAGGCAGCAGUGGGGAAUAUUGCACAAUGGGCGGAAGCCUGAUGCAGCAACGCCGCGUGCGGGAUGACGGCCUUCGGGCUGUAAACCGCUUUCGCCUGUGACGAAGCGUGAGUGACGGUAAUGGGUAGAGAAGCACCGGCUAACUACGUG